CCUUAAAAUAAAACAACUCAUUAGAUGAGAACUAAUAAAAAUAUUAUAAACUCAAACUAUAUGGCGGCAUAUAAAAAUUACAGGGGAACUUACCACAUAAAUGAUAGUCACCAAGAAAAAAUAACCUAUUAUUAAAAAAGUUUGUAUACCGUCGUUAGCAAGAAGCCCUUAAGGGGUUUUUGUGUUUCUAUUAAUAUAUAAGAUAACAGAUCAAGGUGCAACCAAUGCAUAGGAGUUGGCGAGUUACAAUAAUAACAUAUUUCGGCUAAGGACUUAAUUUUUUCCUUUAAAGAUGGACUUGUAAGUAUAUAAUAAUAUCUAGUAAUUAUAAUUAAUAAUAGAAUCUAACCUUUAUUUGUGU
This 361-nucleotide ribosomal RNA is filed under the name Arion intermedius. RNAcentral's name for it is "partial 12S ribosomal RNA". The record is from RNAcentral. Lineage: Eukaryota; Metazoa; Mollusca; Gastropoda; Stylommatophora; Arionidae.